GAGUAAUUGUGCUAAAAUAUUUGCAAAGUGAAUCUUCUCAGAAACUUUGAAUCUUUUUCUGAUGCUAAAGAGUUCUACAACACGGAAAUCCAUCAUUUCAUUAUGAGUUUCUGUUCAUGGUACUGACCUAAGGGCCAAGAUACAAAGUCAAGUGAGAGACAGAGCAUAUCCUCAAGGAGCAGAUUGUCUAACGGGGAAGAGAGGCUUGAAACUCACCCAUGUUGUAUGCCACCACAGAGUUUGAAUAUGUACAAGGGCAUCUCCAGUCAUUGUACUUGGGAGGAGGAGAUGAAGGCACCAUUUCCCUCUUUAUCUGCAAUUGAGUAGUUACUGAGAGAGUUGUUUACAGAGCUCUUUAUUCAUUCAUUCAGAUAUUAUUCAUUGUUAAAAAUACAUAAUUUGAUAUGUAAAUUAUAUCUUAAUAAAAUUGUUUUUUAAAAGCCAUUUGUAGUAUACUUUAAUGUCUUUUCCCCUAGGCCAGCAUAGUUUGGCACAUAAAGCCUUCUUGACUGAGUUGACUGUGUGGCCUGUUUGGGUCUCUCUGCAGUGUUUACCAGCUCUUCUGGCAUACGUCCCAGAAUGACAAUCCUUUUUCCUUUCAGAUUAUGACACUGGAUGUGAACUCAAAUCCCCUUAACUCAGAAACUUACUGUUCAAACCUCCAGAAAAACGCUGGACAAAAUCCUCAUCAAUAAAAACAGAAUAAUUGAAUGUGAUGCUUGGAAAUGUUCCCAGCAAUGUCCUUAACCUUGGAAAAAAAAAUCCCUAGUCUAUAAUGUUUCUACUCACUUAUCCACGGAAAUAGAAUUGAAGGGUAAAUCAGAACAAGCAGAAGUCCUAUUAGUGUGGAGGUUCUGGAGAAGAGGUUGCCUGGUUACUUUUUUCAGCGGAGAAGUUAGAAAAGAACACCACAACAUGAGGGGGAACAUAGUCCUCCUUUCAAAAAGUUUAUCUCUAAAAGAUUAAAAACAAAAACAAAAACAAACCAAAGCGUAACAUCAUAACCUGGAGCAAUCAGGUUUAUUUAAAUAUAUAAAUAUGAUACAAAUGUCUAAAUAUGGAGCAGAUUUUUCUUGGUUAAAAAAACGAGGUUCUGGCUGGGCACGGUGGCUGACACCUGUAAUCCCAGCACUUUGGGAGGCCAAGGCAGGUGGAUUGCUUGAGCUCAGAAGUUUGAGAUCAGCCUG
RNAcentral lists this long non-coding RNA (1187 nucleotides) under Homo sapiens (human). RNAcentral's name for it is "HSALNT0340410". Lineage: Eukaryota; Metazoa; Chordata; Mammalia; Primates; Hominidae. The record is from RNAcentral.